Molecule: ribosomal RNA, 1221 nt
Filed under: Triticum aestivum (bread wheat)
Lineage: Eukaryota; Viridiplantae; Streptophyta; Magnoliopsida; Poales; Poaceae
Description: partial small subunit ribosomal RNA
Source: RNAcentral
CGCAACACAAAACAAAAGCCGAGGCAGGACGAGAGAGCGAACCCUCUCUAAACCCUAGAACACUUAGGCACAGCCGCCGCCGCCGCGGCUCCCAGGACAGCAGCCAAGGAAGAGGAAGCCAAGCCUCCGCCAUGCCGAAAUCCAAGCGCAAUCGCUCAGUCACCUUGUCCAAGACCAAGAAGAAGCCUGGUCUAGAGCGUAAGGGCAAGGUGGUCACGGAGAUCAAAGACGCGAUUGAGCGCCACAGCAGCGCCUAUGUCUUCACCUUCAACAAUAUGAGGAAUCAGAAGCUCAAGGACCUCAGGGACCAACUUAAAUCCUCUAGCCGGAUAUUCCUUGCUGGAAAGAAGGUCAUGCAGAUAGCAUUGGGGCGGUCACCUGCUGAUGAAGCUAAGACAGGCCUGCAUAAACUCUCCAAGUUCCUUCAAGGUGCUUCUGGAUUGUUAUUUACAAAUCUCCCAAGGGAUGAUGUUGAGAGAUUAUUCCGAGAAUUUGAGGCGAAUGAUUUUGCGAGGACAGGAAGUAUUGCGACUCAAACGGUUGAGCUAAAGGAAGGCCCUCUGGAACAGUUUUCACAUGAAAUGGAACCCUUUCUGCGCAAACAAGGACUGCCAGUUCGUCUAAACAAAGGUGUUGUUGAAUUGGUUGCAGAUCAUGUAGUAUGUGAAGAAGGGAAGCCCCUUUCACCAGAAGCAGCACACACUCUGCGCGUGCUUGGGAGGAAGAUGGCGACGUUCCGACUGUACCUUGUCUGCCGCUGGUCGUCCGAUGACUUUGAAGUGUACAAGGAAGGCUUGGCGCACCUGGGAGGUGAGGAAGCUGACGAGUCUUCUUAAGGUUGUUGGAUCAUGGUUGUGUGCUUGUUGUCUAGCUGUGUUCAGACGGUUUUGUGCCAUGCCUUUGUACCCUUAAUUUGACAAGAAUCUCAAAUAUAUGAUCUGACCCAGUUGGGCAUAUUGUCGAGUGCAGGUAUUUUUGCGAGCUACUAUUAUAGGUUGAUCUUCGUCCCUAUGAUUCUUCUCUGUUGUUGUCGUCUCGUGUUCGUUGUGUUGGUUGGGAAACUGGUGUCUUUGGGUCGUCUGAUCAGACAGUGGCUCCGUUAAAUCUGGCGCAUCUGCAUCCGUCGGGCCAUCUCUGGUCGGGGUGUGGAUCUGAUGGUUUGUCGUCGGUUGGUCGAGCCUCCAGUUCGUGGUUGGCUUCAUCCUUGAUGCUCGCAUGUGC